UUGGGUUAAGUGCGUGUAGGCGGCCGGUUAAGUCAGGCGUGAAGCCCAGGGCUCAACCCUGGAAGUGCGCUUGAAACUGAUCGGCUUGAGUCCGGGAGAGGGAAGCGGAAUUCCUGGUGUAGAGGUGAAAUUCGUAGAUAUCAGGAGGAACACCGGUGGCGAAGGCGGCUUCCUGGACCGAGACUGACGCUGAGGCGCGAAAGCGUGGGGAGCAAACAGGAUUAGAUACCCGAGUA
This 236-nucleotide ribosomal RNA is filed under the name uncultured Pseudomonadota bacterium. RNAcentral describes it as "uncultured proteobacterium partial 16S ribosomal RNA". It matches the Rfam family "Bacterial small subunit ribosomal RNA", at positions 558 to 792 of the family's 1533-position model. Lineage: Bacteria; Pseudomonadati; Pseudomonadota. The record is from RNAcentral.